CUUUAUAUAAAUUAAUAAGCAUCAAUUAAAUGAUGAGUCCUUUAUAUUCAUUUUUCAGAUGUCAUACUUGAGAACCACAGAAAUGAAAUCUUGCUCCAGAACACACAGCUGGUUGGUGGCAAGGCCCCGCCAGCUGAUUACCAGUCCAGUGCCCUUUCCAGCAAACCACACCAACCUUAACUGACAUCCCAGCCAACCUGACUUCAUGGACAUGCAACCUGUGCAGUCUGACAGGACCCUGAACUUAGAACAGCCCACACUUGGUUUAAUGCUCUGUUGUCACUUCCUUGAAAUUUCUAAUAACUCUUCAAACAAAGGACACACAUUUUCGUUUUGCACUUGUUUCCACAAAUUAUGCAGCUGGUCCUGCAUUCCAGACUGGCAGUGAAACAUCUGCUAUUAGAUUUUCAUCUUUCAACAUAUGAUUCUUUUGUUCAGAACAUUAUCACUACAAUAAGUAUAUACGUUUGUGAUCUUUUCCUGUCUUGUCAACUUUGCAAACAAAGAAAUUUCUCUCUCUUUUCUGCCUGUAAAACACCUUUUGUUGCACAUGCAAACUAGAGGUUUCACACUUUGUUGGUUUGGCCAGUUCUGAGACUGCAGAAUAAGUCACCAUCAAGAUAUACUUUAAAAGUUUUGCAAAGCCAUCAGGAGCCAAGGUGUGACCAUAUUACUAAAACAGAGGGGCUGAAAACUUUCUUUUUUCUUUUCAACUAGACUUUUUUUCUGAAAACUGGCUAUGGUUAUACAUGACACAUCAGCAACAUUUCAAUCAUAUCUCAUGCUAUCCUCAGUCUUAACUGAGUAGGUAGUCAGUAAGCCAAAACUUACACCUUGGUUUCCCUUUUCCUCUGUCAUCAGCAGUCACAUCCUAGCACUCACAACCAAAUUAUCUCAUCCAGACUUUGGCGUAGAUUUCUUCCACUCAAUAUGAGUCAAUAUUGGAUCCAUGCCCCCACGCUAUUUUGACUUCCGGAACUCCUGACAUCAUGCAAGCCAAACCUACGGAAGAAGCAUGACAUACAGAAUAGAAGUCCACACGGAGUCAGAUUUUCCCCGCAAUUUGACUCAUAAAAUCCCGUAAGUUAGAGGAAGAUUUUUCUGAAUCCCCCCUUUUCUUUUGUGCCUUCUGGCCAUUUUUGAGGAGUGGUUCAAAGAAUAUAGAAGGUAUGCUACUUACACAGUACAAUCAUCAGAUUACAAUAUUCUUAAUUUUAUAUCAGAUGGGAUUGUGUAUUGAUAAUCCAGAGAUUCAUGGUCCUGCUUUGAAGGUUGUAUUUUUGUUCCACAAGGAAUUUUAAUGCACCAAGUGCCAAAUACUUCGAUUGAUAUGGGGUUUCCAAAGAAGGAUGAAAAGUUCUAUUGUGAAAAUGUUGGUUUAUAUCCCAAUUUCAAUUAAUUAAUAUGUGCUUAUUGAAUUGAAUGCCUACUAGAUAUCCAUAGCUUUAGGGGUUACAAAGAAGUUAGCAGUGAGACAAUCCGGUAGGAGCAUAUGUCACCACAUUGGAAGCUAGGAUUGAUUCCUGUUCUUGUUGCUGAAUAGGUAGAAUAGGUAUCCAUAUUCCCCACCUUUUCUCCAUGUACAUCCUCUCCAGGUGGUUCAUAUCGUUAAGAGGACUUAUUAUUGGUCAGAGGGAAAUACACACAUUGACAUAUGUAUUGUGUUUCCUCCUCCUAUACCCAAGGCAGACGUCACUAAUCAGUCACGGCAUUCCUUUCUAUUAAAUCCAGAUAUCACUGCUGAAUCCUUCUCAACACUGAAAUCCAGAUAGAUACUGACUUAUUUAUAUUUCAUUGCUUAUUUUCCCUAUUAGGGCAAAGGUUUACUUGUUGUUAUGCCUCUUAGAUCCUCCAUAUGGGUUCAUUCAACUUACAAAGAAGUAAAAGGCAUAAUCUCUUCCUCCAAGAAAAUUAGUAUUGGGGGAAAACGUAACAAUCCAUGAAGUAAUAUAAGGGAAAGAACUUUGGCCUAAGAGAAAGGAGUCCCAAAUUCUGGUCCUGUGUCUGCAAGUGAUGUGAGAUUUUGAACAAAGCCUUUACCCAUGCCUCAUAUUUAACCACAUCAUCUUUAAAAUGAAGACUUAACUCUAAAUGAACUCUAAGUUUCCUUCUAUUCUUAAUAUCCUACAUUUCUAUGAUUGUGAUUUAUGAGGAAUAUAAGACAUUACUAAGGACUAAGGUUGCAAGAAGUAAAGACUCCAACAGACUUAGAAAUUCAGAGAAAUCAGCCAAGUGCAGUGGCUCAUGCCUGUAAUCCCAGCAGUUUUGGAGGCCAAGGCAGGCAGAUCACCUGAGGUCAGGAGUUCGAGACCAGCCUGGCCAACAUGGUGAAACCUCAUCUCUACUAAAAAUACAAACCCC
This 2361-nucleotide long non-coding RNA is filed under the name Homo sapiens (human). RNAcentral describes it as "HSALNT0190924". Lineage: Eukaryota; Metazoa; Chordata; Mammalia; Primates; Hominidae. The record is from RNAcentral.